ACAUUUAAAACAACCUCGCAAGCCAGGCUCUCUACUUCCGCUUACCUCCCUAACACGCUCCAGCUGGAGCGUGUUAGGGAGGGAAGCGGAAGUAGAGAGCCUGGCUUGCGAGGUUGCAUUUAAUU
Molecule: microRNA precursor, 125 nt
Filed under: Paramuricea clavata
Lineage: Eukaryota; Metazoa; Cnidaria; Anthozoa; Malacalcyonacea; Plexauridae
Source: RNAcentral